This 698-nucleotide ribosomal RNA is filed under the name uncultured bacterium. RNAcentral describes it as "bacterial SSU rRNA". It matches the Rfam family "Bacterial small subunit ribosomal RNA", at positions 70 to 777 of the family's 1533-position model. The record is from RNAcentral.
UGAUUUCUUCGGAAUGAAAUCUGAUCUGACUGAGUGGCGGACGGGUGAGUAACGCGUGAGCAACCUGCCCUUCGGAGGGGGAUAGUGUCUGGAAACGGACAGUAAUACCGCAUAACGUAUUUUUACCGCAUGAUAGAAAUACCAAAACUGAGGUGCCGAAGGAUGGGCUCGCGUUGGAUUAGAUAGUUGGUGGGGUAACGGCCUACCAAGUCGACGAUCCAUAGCCGGACUGAGAGGUUGAACGGCCACAUUGGGACUGAGACACGGCCCAGACUCCUACGGGAGGCAGCAGUGGGGAAUAUUGCACAAUGGGGGAAACCCUGAUGCAGCAACGCCGCGUGAAGGAAGACGGUUUUCGGAUUGUAAACUUCUGUUCUUAGUGAAGAAUAAUGACGGUAGCUAAGGAGCAAGCCACGGCUAACUACGUGCCAGCAGCCGCGGUAAUACGUAGGUGGCAAGCGUUGUCCGGAAUUACUGGGUGUAAAGGGAGCGCAGGCGGGAAGCCAAGUCAGCUGUGAAAACUACGGGCUUAACUUGUAGACUGCAGUUGAAACUGGUUUUCUUGAGUGAAGUAGAGGUUGGCGGAAUUCCGAGUGAAGCGGUGAAAUGCGUAGAUAUUCGGAGGAACACCGGUGGCGAAGGCGGCCAACUGGGCUUUAACUGACGCUGAGGCUCGAAAGCGUGGGGAGCAAACAGGA